ACUUGGAGAACGUAGUAAACCAAAGGCCAAGCUGAUGCCAAGCUUCAGUGUAAAACUUUGAGCAGGUGCCAGAGAAACCAUCCUUGUUAAAGAUGUGACAUUAAUCCCUCCAAACCUACAAAACACAACUGAUUAGAAAUUAGCCUGUGAGAUCAAGACAUUGCAAGAUGCAGAAAUAUCCACCAGAUACCAAAUGCCACACCAAAGCAGACAUUUCAAAUGUUAAGGGACCUAUGAAUACAGCUUCAUCCUUCAUUGCAAUGGACUUUGAAACAACUGAUUGAUUAGGCAAGAUGUUAUCUGUCAUAUCAAAGAGAUAGAAUAUGAAACUGUCAGCCAGUAUUGAUAUAAUGAGGUACUAAAAGCUCCAAUACCAUUAGGGGCUGAAGACAUACAAUGUAACAGGAAUUGUGUGGGGUUUGACCAACCUUAGACUAAAGAGAAAACUUGUUGCUGCAUUACAGAUAUUUUGAACUCAGCAAUUUUUAUGAUUGUUUUUAAUGUUAAUUCUCUCUCUUAUGAAUAAUAUGAUAUCUAUAUUUGCAAUGUACAUGAAUUGAAAGUUACUCAUGUCUGUAAAACUGUUUUCCCUUGACAUUGACUACAUUUCAUAGAUCAGUGAAAAAAGUUAUGUACCCAUGGUCAAGUCCAUGUAUCAGAUUCAAAAAGCAAUAGGUCUGCUUAAUUUGGUAAACUGUAUGGUUGAUCCUGAUCUCAUUUUCAUGGUUUAUUGAUCAAUGCUAAUAUUCAAAAGAUUUAAUAUUGAUUGUACAUUGUAUCUAUAGAUAUGAUAAUAUUUAUUUGUAUCCUUUGAACCAUCAUGACCAUGUUAUACUUUCAUGAUAAUAUACAAAUAAAUAUUGAAAUGU
Molecule: long non-coding RNA, 869 nt
Organism: Mytilus trossulus (common blue mussel)
Lineage: Eukaryota; Metazoa; Mollusca; Bivalvia; Mytilida; Mytilidae
Exons: 4
Source: RefSeq, a predicted model, not a curated record